Molecule: long non-coding RNA, 1460 nt
Organism: Cyprinus carpio carpio
Lineage: Eukaryota; Metazoa; Chordata; Actinopteri; Cypriniformes; Cyprinidae
Source: Ensembl
CUGGAAUGAUAAACAGGGCUUUGCAUUACUAAAGCAUCGAUAAACAUUAAACAUCAUCACAUACUGUACACACACUCCUCCUGUAAUGCACUGCAUGCUGACUGCUCAUGGGAAGGACCCGUUUGAGAGCAGCCAUGACCGAAGGCCAGAUGAGACUUCAGCUUCCUCCAUCUGUCCCUCUCACUUCCUGAGUGCUCAAUGCUCUUUGAUGACUUUUUUAUUUCAUUUUUGGAACAAAUAAGUUUUCUCAACAACAUUUGGGCUUUUAGAGGCUUUAAAAUAUGAUAUUACACUUCCAGAAACUUUCAUUUUUAAAUGUGCAUUUAGCCUUGACUGUCAUUUUAGACUGUAUUGAUUAUUCGUUUCGAUGAUUCCUUACAAAAUAAUCUCUCUUUCUGUUAAAAGCCUCAGAAGGCACGUACUGCAUCUAAUGCAUGUUGCACAAAAAGCGCUUCCAGAAAAGCUGAAGUUUGCAGGCUGGUGAAAUAAAAGCACCUGCUAAAUGACCAAAAAACACGGUAGUACCGUAGCACUGUUUUUUGGGUUGUCAGCGUGACGUUGCAGAUAAACAGUGAUAUCUGAGGCGCAGGGCACAUGCAGGCCGCUGGAAAUGUUGCUUUUAAGCGACUCGCUUUCUCCGGGUUUCCCAUUUCUGCUUUUAUGGAUGGAGUGCCAAUCAUAGUCUCUUGAUAUCUCUCACGCUAACAUUAUUGAGUACAUUACAGCACAUGCCUGAGCCAUGAAAGCAUCAAUAACAUCCUCAUCAGCACGAGACAGACCAGCCCUCAGAAGAGAAGAGUGCAGACAGCAACAAACUCCAAGCUGCAGAGUGAAAACAAGUGAGAAAAACAUAUGAGUUUUUAUUUUUUGCAGAAAAAUAAACUAACAAAAACUAUUUCUAAGAGAGAGAGAGAGAGAGAGAGUGUGUGUGUGUGUGUGUGUGUGUGUGAGAGAGAGAGAGAGUGUGUGUGUGUGUGUGUGUGUGUGUGAGAGAGAGAUAGUGUGUGUGUGUGUGUGUGUGAGAGAGAGAGAGAGUGUGUGAGAGAGAGAGAGUGUGUGUGUUAAUUACAUGAACAGGUGUGUGUGAGUCACAUAUCAUGUUUCAUGUUUGUUUUUACAAUCACAUUCAGUCACAUGAGAGCACAGAGAAAUAUGACGUGAGCCAAAAUACAGAUAUUAAACAUUUCACACUCAAUUUGUACUUCAUUAACUUGAUUGUUUUUAAAAGUUGUAAAUAAAAGUUUAUUGCAGCAUGUUUUACAAGAAAAUGCAAAUUCAGUCUAUUUAUGAAAUAUAUUUAUGAAAUUUAAUAACAAUUUAGAAAGUAAAUCCAACACCAAUUUUUGUGCAUUUCAAUGUUGUUGUUUUUAACCAUUAAGACACUAUUAUAUUUUUUUUUGAAGUAGUUUUUCAUUAUUAUUAUUUUUUUUUAAUUUUAAAGUUUUAGUAAUCUUGUUGUG